AAGAUUAUGUAUGUACAAUAUGCAUUUAUUUGUUCGUUUAUCUAGAAAAUGACUUCAACUAUAUUUCUAUAUUAUAUGCACUACUAAUAAUACAUUUGUAAAAUUGUUUUAAAAUUCUACUUUUUCAGCAGGUUUUGGGGAAAAGAAAAGAAAAGAAAAGAAAAGAAAUAAAUUGAUAAUUUAAUGCUAUUUUAGUUCUUGCUAAUAAUUUUGCUUGUUUUUAUGAUAUUUAGAUAUUCGUUCAGGACACACACUAACUCAUCAUGUAUCUGUGCAGUGCUAAAGAAGAAUUUUAGUCAGUUGCUACAAAAGAAAAAUUUUCUAACUCCACAUAAUUCAAAGAUCAAAACAAGCCCAGGCCUCGCUGUACUCAAGUUAUUCCUGUGGAACAAGGAGGUUGAGGAAAAAGUGCGGCUCGAUUGCCGCCAGAUGUCAAGACACAAAACUGAGUCUGUCAAAUAAGCAGCAGGACUGGCAGCUCCCUGAUGCCCACCGCUACAGCAAUCACACUCUCCUCAGACAGAUCCUCCUAAAACCAGCUGCAGGAAACACAAACACACAGCAAAAUCUACCUUUCUUUGCAUGGAUGGUCUCGUCGGAAAAACCUUCCCUUCAAAUUAGCUGGCUGGGCGAGAGAAUGAGGAGUGACUGAUGACGAGUCGUGUGACGGCUCGCCCUUCACACAGGCUGAAGAGAUGUAAUGACUUUGAGACUUCCAGAGGAACGUGUGAGUGUGAGAAAGAGCUUAUAGGUGCGAGAGAAAGGAUGUGUGAGUGAGAAACUGAGAAAGGAUGAGAAAGUGUGGAAAGAAAAGGAAGGGAGAUGACAUUGGCUGUCAGCACUGAAUACGUGUCAAGGCUCUUAUGGCUCUUUCACCCCACAAUAUCUGCCACCUUCCUGUCAUAAACAUGCAUGAAUCUUUCAGCCUUUCAUAUGUGUUUUGUUUUAAGCUUAAGCCUCAUAAAGCAUUUUAAGAUUUAUGUUUAAAUCAAGAACAACGAACUGUGCAAAUGUGGUCAGAAACAUAAACAAGAAUUGAUUUUAAUGUGAUUUUUUUUUUUUUUUUUGCACUACUAAUAAAAAUGGUUGUCAGAUUUUAUAAAAAUGACUUGUCACUGGGGUAAAAACAGUAAAAUGGAUAUUAAUAAAUUGAUUUAUAAAGUAAAUUGAUUUUGUUUUUAGGAUGUUUAGGUUUUUUCUUCCUGGAAAAAGGACAACCAUGUUUUGAUUUUUUUUUAUUUAUAUUUUUAUAUAUUGUGUACAUAAUCUGUGUACUGCAAAUAAACGUUUGGUCAAAUUGUUGAAAAUUGUUCUUUAAAAUUAUACAGCUUAUAAAAUUAUUUUGCAACAAAAACGAAGAGAGAGAGGAAAAAAAAAAAAAACCUUCCCAGUGCAAAAAGUACACACAAACUAAAAUAACAUUGAAAUAUUAAUGAAGAAUAGUUGCUAAGUCACUUGCUAAAACAAAUAAUUUCAAAAAAAUGAUUUUUUUUUUUUUUUUUUUUUUUUACAGUGUACAUUUUGUGUCUUGCUAAUGAAAAAUAGUUGCCAAAUUGUUUAUAAAUACUGCUUGUUUACAUGGCUUAUGAAACAGGGAAAAAAAAGUAAGCAAAUUCAAAAUACUGAAAAAUACAUUAUAUUUUAAUAUAUAUAGUUUUAUUAUUAUUAUUAUUUUUUAUUUUUUAUUUUUCUUCAGGAAAAUAUUAUGAUGCGAUGGACUUCAACUACAUUUCCCACAAUUCUCUGUGGCAGCUUGAAAUUGCUAAAAUAAACAGAUAAGAUUUUAAUUGCAUCUUAAGCAUCUUAAUACAUGCUAAAAAGCUGUCAUGUAGAAAAACAAAUAUGAAAUUGUGAAAGGAAUAUCAAGUUUUCCAAUGCAUUCAGCCAAGACAACUGGAACGCACAUACUUUUUGUAAUUGCAAACUUGCACGUAGGAACAUCCCAGAAGCACUGGAUUGCAGCAACAUGCAGCAGAACGAUUUUAUUGUGUUCUGCAGUCCAUGUGUCCAAUUACAUCAGCGUUUGAAACCACUUGUGAUUUUACAGUCCCACAAUCCAUCUGGCAGCCCAUCCCACAACACACCGCAAAUCAGAUACACGUGCAUCGAUCACUGACAAACAAACAUCCCAUUAUGCCUUACCUGAAAAAAAAAAAGAAAAAAAAAAACACAUUGCAGAAAUAGCUCCCAAAUGAUUAUACUGCAAAUCACUCUAUAAUGGCUCAUGUUUUCAUCAGCGAAAGAGCAAAAUUAGGCUUGGAGGAUUUCAUUAGAAAAACAAAAUGUCAAGCCAUCCAUUAUCAGUCGUAAUUCAAGCACGUAUCAUUCAGAAGGCUUGCUACCAGCAUAUGGUGAAAAUGUAAGGUUUCGGCACACUAUUUCACAUGAAUUGAAUCAAUAGCUCGGAUAAUAAAGUCAUAAAAGAUGAUGUGGAAUUAGAGUUUCCCUUUAUUGUACUGUAGAUAGGAUGUUGAAGUUGAUCAUUCUUGUAUGGCGACAAGAGUGAGAGAAAACAAUACAUCAUCACUGCUGACAAUUAGAUAUUUAAUCAUACGUAUCGUUACAAACAACUUGCAGAUGUGUACAGCGUUAUAAGUAUGCACAUUUCGAGAAAUUCAUUUUUGACUGUCAGAUAAAGUGUGAUCAAUUUCUAAUUGACUCUAUGUGGAGUAUGGAGCCAUUUGUAUGCUGAACAAAUCCAUGUAAUGAAAAUGAACAAACUGAGUGAAUCUCAAGAAAUAAGUCAAGAAAAUAUCUAUGUUAAUUUCACUAGUGUGACUAGUUUUAAUUUUCACUAACUUAAC
Long non-coding RNA from Cyprinus carpio carpio, 2804 nucleotides. NCBI's taxonomy places the organism in Eukaryota, Metazoa, Chordata, Actinopteri, Cypriniformes, Cyprinidae. The record is from Ensembl.